Long non-coding RNA from Hemicordylus capensis (graceful crag lizard), 13296 nucleotides. RefSeq lists it as uncharacterized. Lineage: Eukaryota; Metazoa; Chordata; Lepidosauria; Squamata; Cordylidae. The record is from RefSeq and is a predicted model, not a curated record. The transcript is spliced from 3 exons.
UCUACGCCAGGCGUCCUUUCCCUACCGUACAUCCCAGUCGGGCGCUCUCCGGCUGUCCCCAACAGUCUGGCGGCGGCGGAGCAGAAGAAGGAGCCGCCGGUGACGCACCGCCCCCCCUCCGGUGACCUCACUGCAGAGACUGAGGAGGAGGAGGUGGAAAAACCGCCGUGGCUGAAGAGACGGCGGCGCGCGGGCACGAACCCGCCAGGAGCGCGCGUCCCGCGGCCUCGCUGUCCCCGCCAAGCCCCGCCUACUGUCUGGGACAACUCCUGGCUGGCGCUGGCUGGCUGCGUGCGUGUCUGUCUGUCUGUGUGCGAGAGCGAGAGAAAGGGAACGUGAGGCAAUCCUGGACCUCCCUUCCCUUUCUCCUCGCCCGAGCCAGAUGGCGUCGUUCCCUCCCUUUACAGCAAUCUCAGCGCUUCGUUGCAUUAGCGCAGCCCGCCGCCGCUCCACUCGGGCAGCUGGUGAUGCCCCCCCCCCUCAGAGAAGUGCCUCAGCCUGCCCCCCCCAGCACACACCGCCCCCUCAUUUCUGUUUCAGAAAUCUAAUACGUGGGACACAACUCGCUUGGCUCACCCAGGCACUUUGACCCUUCUGUGCCCCCCCUUUUUUUCUAGUGUCGCCACUGGCUCCGUAGUCCCCGCCCAAUAGUUAAGUUUUACCUCAGCUUCCCUUCAUCAGUCGUUUUAUUUUCCCCUCAGCCGCUCAUGCUCGAAUCUACCCGUCUGCUCUUACAGGCUACUCCAAAUGUCUGCUCUUUCACAUAGUGCCCUUCUUCCCUUGGAGCCAUUCGCUCCAGAUUCCUUUCCACCCCCGCCUCCCCAAAGCCACUCCACACCUCAAUUAUUAUCUCCCGCCUCCCGCCCUCGACUUCCAAUUCCUUCUCUGGUUGCUGUCGGCGUUGUAUCAUCCCAAAUUAUUGUUAAAAGGUUUUGUAAAUAACACAUCAAUUUCAGAGGAUGAAUACAACUGAAGGAAGCCUGGGCUGGUGUGUGGCUGGGGGAGGCAGUCAUGUGACUUGCCUGGGGGCCAAGGCAGUGGGCCCCCAGACAACUGUCUCCCCUUGCCCUAUUAUAGUUACACCCCUGAUCACAACUCAGUUUGCCAGAGUACACACACAAGAAGGAGCUUGAACUAAUCACCAAAGCUCUGUGGAGCGCUCUUGUGUGUCUCACGUGUUUGGAAAUGCAUGUUGUCACAUUCACACUACAAAACAUGCAAUGAGCAUAGUAGUCCUUAAGGGCCUGGGCUAGGUCGAGAUCUGGUCGUUUUAAUCAAUUGCUUUAGCUGGGUAGUUAGUGACAGUUGGCUUUGCUUGGUAAUUUGGCCAGAAUCCCAAACAGUUGUGGAGGGGAGGGCCGUAACUCAGCAGUAGAGCAUUCUUUUUUACAGGCAUAAAAAGGCCCAGCUUCAAUCUCUGGGAUUUCCAGAUAGGGUUUGGAAAGACCUCUGUCCCUGUCUGAAACCCUGGAAAGAGUCAGUGUAGAUCAGGCCUGCACAACAUAAGGCCCCGGGGCCGGAUUCGGCCGCAGUGACUAUUUUACUGGCCCCCAGGUACCCUGCAGCAACACAGGAGCUGGAAACUGCCUUAUAGCACCAUCCUGUGCAUGCUUUCUCAGAAAUAUGCUCCACUGGUGUGCCAUGUAACUCCCGUGUUUAGGGAGAGGAGAGGACUUGGCAUUUGUUUAGGGCGGGCAUGCGCUCUAGGGGCCCCACUCAUUGAGCAGGGACAGGACCUAUUCUCGGGCCACAACCCUUGGUUGAAACUAUGGGUCCAUUGACAGAGGGAAUAGAUCCACAAGUAACUAGUCAUAUUUUUAAUUUUAAUGUAAUAAUGUGCUAAAAAUUGACCUUGGCCCCUGCACGCCAAGUUGUAGAUGGUUCCGACCCACCAGGGCAUUUGAGUUGUGCAACCCUGGUGUAGAUAGUACUGUGAUAGAUGGAAGGACUAAUGGUCUGACUCAGUAUAAGGCAGCUUCCUAUGUUGCCUGUUUUCAGAGCUAUGCUGACAAUUUGGUGCCUGAGGAAGCACAUCCAAACGGCGCAUCCACCACAAGUUAACCUGAGGUCAUGGGACUUCCUAACAGACUGUGCCCGCGGCUUGCUCAGAUCUGUCUGUUUCCCAUUCUGACGCCUGAGGCGACUACCUCAUUUUAUCUCAUUGUAAUGCUGGCUCUGCCCGUUUGCCCUCUGAGUGUGCCCUCCCCACAUACAUUCCACUGCCCUCUCAGUGCCUCCAAUCUGACCCUGGUGCCUAGUCAAAAAUCCUUGGAUCCAGUUUACUUACCUCUUGGCUCAUUUUUACCAACCCACAUAUACACGGACUAAAUAGCAGUAAAUAAGUUGGUUUUUAUUUUAUUUUUUGGCCACUCAUUCAACUCUUCUCAAAAUAAACCUUUUGCCUUCUCCUCUCUCUUCGGCCCAUAACUGAAACAAAUCUAUCUCUCCCUCCCUCCCCCCCCUCUCUCUCUCUCACACACACACACACACAAACACACUGCCAUAAAGCCUCCUUCACAGUAGUUAACCUCCAGUAAGAAUUCUUUAUAUAAAGAUGGGAGUGGUGGGAGCUGUUUUUUGCAGUGGUUAUCUUGUUCUCUGUCUUGCGGAUAAUGCUUGUAUAUUUGUAUCAUCAUACAUGUGCAUGCAUGUUUUUCUAUGACAGCUAAAUUAAACAUAAGCCUUACUGAUCCUGAGGCAGAAACACACAGCCCAAGAAGUUGCUGGGGAGACACAUUCCCAUCUCCAGUGCAAGGUUUUAGAGAGGGGUUCAGGGACCGUGAGUUCCAAGGCGGUCAGUACAGAUCGAACUGGCGUCAAUCCUGGAAUAUCAAGAACAGAGUUACUGGUAAGGGCAGAACUGGAGGUUUCCCUUCGAACCAGGCCAAACACACCCGUAAACAAUGACUCAGUCCAGGUGGGAGGCAGGUUAAGAGCCUUUGCCUGGGUCUGGGGAACUUCCACCACAGAGACCGUUGGGUCAAUCAAACGAUUACCCAGGGAUACUCCAUAGAUUUUUUUGGCAACUCCCCCCACCCCAACUUUUUCUUCAAAACACCGGUGUCCAAUUGCGAUCCAAGAGGAAUUUGAUGGAGUUUGCCAUCCAGGACCUUUUGGAGAUUUGGGCCAUAGAGAUGAUUCCUGUAUCAUCAGAACCAGAGGGAGUUUUCCCCCUGUUGUUCUUAGUCCCCAAAAAGGACGAUACCUGGUGGGUGGUACUGGAUCUGAAGCACCUGAAUUGAUUCGUGCAAAAGAGAAUCUUCAGGAUGGAGUCGCUCAGAACCAUCAAGUCGGCUAUCCUCCCAGGGGAUUGGUUGGCCUCUCUCAACUAUUUGCCUAUUUGUCCAAAGCCUAUUUGCAUGUACCGAUUCAAGCAUCUUCCCGCCAGUAUCUGAGAUUUGCUUACGACCAAAAGUUCUAUCAGUACAGGACACUCCCUUUCGGGCUCUUGUCAGCCCCUCGUGUGUUCACAAAACUGAUGGUGGCAGUCAUUGCACAUAUCAGAUAGGAGGGCAUUCACUCCUACCCAUAUCUCGACGACGUUUUGAUUCAAUCGAAUUCAGCUCCCCAGGCAAAGAAAGACAUGGAAUGCACUGUCCAGAUCAUGGAGGAGCACGGAUUCAUCAUAAACAAGAUCAAAAGCCACCUUGUCCCAUCUCAAGUCUUAGUUCAUCUGGGGGUGCUCUUCAAUACAGAGACGGCAACGGUGAGCCUUCCAAGGGAAAGGUUAGAGAAGAUGGUUUCGGCAAUAGAACCAUGCCUGCACAGAAAGAAGGCUACUCUGUCUCAUCUAGCACAUAUCCUGGGACUAAUGAUUGCAUGUUUGGAUUGCGUACUAUGGGCAAGAUGGAACUCCAGACCACUUCAGUGGCUGUUGCUCCCGCAUCAGGAGGCGAUCAUGGAAAGGCGAAGCCUGUGGGUCAAGAUCUCCAAGAAGGUGAAGCACUCCUUUCUAUGGUGGCUAUCGGCAGCCACAGAGAGGGGAGUGUCUCUGGCAAUUCCCAAAAAGAUUGUUGUCACGACGGAUGUGAGCCUCUUCAGUUGGGGGGCACACUGCACCAAUCUCCAGGCCCAGGGGAGAUGGGAGCAGAAUGACUUAGUACACAACAUAAAUUGGAUGGAGUUGAAAGCGGUCUGGUUAGCCUUGGUGAGUUUCCAGGACAUAUUAGAGGGCCGGCAUGUACUGGUACGAACAGACAAUGUCAUGGCGAAGGCUCUUAUAAACCAUCAGGGGGGAACACGGUCGAGAUCGCUGAUGCAAGAAUCGGAUUUGCUUUUUCGAUGGGCAGAGCAGCACCUGAAGUUGAUUACAGCGGAGCAUCUCUCGGGGGUUGAAAAUUUAUAAGUGGACUGGUUGAGUCGACAGUCUUUGGACCCAGCAGAGUGGUCCCUCCAUCCGGGAGUGUUCAAGAUGAUAGUACAGAGGUGGGGCAUACCGAUAGUGGACUUGUUUGCCUCACAUCUCAAUCACAAGGUUCCAAGGUUCUAUUCAAGGCAUCAGUGUCACCAGGCAGAACAAGUAGACACAUUGGUAACCAGGUGGCCACAGGGCCUCCUAAAUGCUUCCCCCACCCUUCCAAUUCUGGGAUCAGUCAUCAGGAAGGUGAUGUUUGAGAGGGCAGAGCUGAUAAUGGUGGUGCCCUACUGGCCAUGGAGACCGUGGUUUUCAGAUCUGAUGAACCUCUCGAUACAGGUGCCAUGGCCUCUGCCGUGCAGGUCAGACCUGUUGAUGCAAGGACCCGUUUGUCACUUGGACCCAGAUUGGUUACAGUUACACGCUUAGAGGUUGAGCGGCAGAUUUUAGACAGUAAAGGCUACUCUCAAAAGGUGCAGGACACAAUCAUAGCGUCCAGGCAACCGUCCACGGCGCGCAUUUAUUAGGUGGCGUGUUCCGCCUUCUGUACCUGGGCAAAGGUACAAACCCUAACCCUAACCCCGUUUGAGCCCCUCCGUUCAGUAUCCUUAAAGUUAUUGUCAUUUAAAGUUCUUUUUCUUGUUGCAGUUACUUUGGCCAAGCAGGUAUCGGAGCUGGCUGCUCUUUCAGUUCGAGAUGAACUUUGUAUUUUCCAAAAGGACUCAGUGGUUAUGAAGCUGGAUCCCACCUUCUUACCAAAAGUAAAUUCUUUGUUUCAUAGAAACCAAGAGAUUGUUUUACCAUCUUUUUGUUCGGCACCUCAGCAUCCGAAAGAAAAGGUUUGGCAUACCUUGGAUGUGCGCAGGGCUCUGCGCAUAUACAUUAAGCGCACAAGAAAUUUGCGAAAAUCGGACUCCCUGUUUGUGUCCUUUCAGCCUUCUGGUUUGGGUUCAAAAGCCUCCAAGGUGUCUCUGGCCAGGUGGAUUAAAGCUACGAUCGCCUUGGCUUAUGAGUCCCUAAGGUUAGCUGUCCCUCACGGGAUUACUGCUCAUUCAACCAGAAGUGCUUCUACGUCAGCUGCUUUUUCAGCCAGGGUCCCCCAUGAGGAAAUCUGCAAGGUGGCCACGUGGUCGUCUAUGUCACCUUUUAUAAAACAUUAUAAAAUUCCAUCUUUUUAUGAAUCACAGGUGGCAGUUGGUCGCACUGUACUUCAAAAGGUGGUAUAGAUAUCUGCUGCCCGCCCAGUUCGGAGGUUUGGGUAUGUCCCAUCAUGUGACGGAUGCCCUCCCCAUACCAGAAAAAGAACCCUUCACAAUAGGUCUACCAAUGUUUGUUUCUGCACCUAUUAUUCCUUAGGUGCCUGGACCUGUGAUUCCUGGGCCUGGACUCCCUAGCCAGCCAGCUCCACCUAUAGGACAGCAGCCUGUACCUGCCCUUUUUUGCCAACUGGUGCCACCUAGAAGCCAGCGGCCUUAUUCAGUGCCAUUGUCUCCAGAUACUCAAUUAUCAGAGUCUGAGAAAAAAGAGGGGUGGGAAUUGUCUAAUGAACAGGCCCCUGCUGAAAGGUCUAAUUCCAUACGCGUGGUCACUACAGCUGAAAUUGAAGUAUGAUUGGCCAAGAGGACAAGAAAGCAGAGCAUCUGCUCAGAAAAGGUCAUGAUGUGUCUGCUACUGUCAUCAGGGCAGCUGCCACAAACUCUGUUUUUGUGAGGGCAUCUAUUCUUUGGGCUAAAGAGUUGGUGCAAUACAUCCCUCUGAAGAAUGUUCAAUUGCGCCAGGGUGUCAACAAGUUAGCUAAGGCAGCCGUUCUCAUGGCUAAUUCGAGUCUGGAUUGUAUCCAGCAUGCCUAGUGGGCGAUGGUGUCUGAAGUCGCAGUGCUCAGCAGGUUGUGGUUAAAUAAUUGGCAUGUUGAUACUAAAUCAAAGGUUACUUUGGCUGUUACUCCCUUCCGGGGAGGGGGGCAGCAAACUGUUUGGAGAAUCUUUAGGACCGGUGUUGGUUUAAACUAAAGAUGAAAAGAAAACCAUGCCAGCUUGACGCAGAGAGUUUCGUAGGCCCUUUGGGGGAACACUUCCCACCAGUCUUCCAUUCAUACCUGUAGAGCUUUCAACUGGGCUCCAGCCAACCAAUUAAGAGACAACUUUAGGGACAAUCAAGCACCGACCUUCAAGUCAGACUGGCGACAGCCCUGGAGCAAUCAAGGUAGAGGUACUUUCAGAAACCAGCAAGGCAGACCUUUUUCUUCCCCUUCAGCCCAGGGCCAAAUCAUAAGCUAUGACCCAAUCCCAGUUGGGGGCAGGCUUCUCCUUUUCUCAAAGGCCUGGGUGAACAGCACCACCAAUCGCUGGGUGCUGCAGACUGUACGGGAGGGGUAUUUAAUAGAUUUUAUUUCUCCCCACAAUUUUCACCUAACAACUCCCAUAUCCAGGGUCAAAUCCAAAAGAGUUUGAUCAAACAGGCCUUCAACAUUUGUUGGAUGUUCAGGCCAUAGAGCCUGUUCCACUGACCACAUCUUUCUUUCUUUCUUUCUUUCUUUCUUUCUUUCUUUCUUUCUUUCUCUCUCUCUCUCUCUCUCUCUCUCUCUCUCUCUCUCUCUCACACACACACACACACACACACACACACACACACACACACACUUAUAUACCGCCCAAACUUUCGUCUCUGGGCGAAACAUGAACAUCAUGUUCAGGCUCUAGUCUUUGCUUUUUCUGGUGCCAAAGAAGGAUGGGUCCUGGCGAGCGAUUUUAUACCUAAAAACGGCUCAACAGGUACAUGAGGAAAAGGUCAUUCUGUAUGGAAUCCCUCAGGUUGAUCAAGGAUGCAGUCCAGCCCAGGGAUGUUCUGGCAUCAAUCGACCUGUCGAAAGCUUACCUACAUGUGCUCAUUCACCCCACCUUUUGAUGCUUCCUGAGGUUUUCUUACAACCAUCAGCAGUACCAGUACAGGGCUCUGCCCUUUGGGUUUUCAUCCGUGUGUCUAGUUUUUAUGAAGUUGAUGGUGGCAGUAAUUGCCCAUGAACGUCUCCAGGGCAUUCAUGACCACCUGAAUCUGGAUGAUCUGUUGAUUCCCUUGUCUUCCCAACAACAAGCCUCCAGAGAUGUGCAGCAGACAAUCCAGAUACUCAAAGAACAUCGCUUCAUAAUCAACCUUCUGAAGAACCAUUUAUGUCCAUCACAGCGCUUCCAGCAUCUGGGUGUGCUAUUCAACAUGCAGGCGGCUACUAUCUCCCUUACGAUGGAACGCCAACAGAAGAUUGCUGCCUCAAUUGUACCCCUGUUGUCCAGAUGCAGGAUGGAUCUAAUGACUCUGGCUCAGCUCAUGGGGUUGAUGAUCGCUUGUUUGGAGUGCACCCCUUGGGUGAGGUGGCACUCCAGACCACUUCAAUGGACCAUCCUGCCUUUUCAGUCUGGUGGUUAUCUCCAGUCAAGGAAGAGGGUCUUCCCCUUGAAAAUCCAUGCAAGGUGGUGGUCACCACCAUUGCAAGCCUCUCUGGCUGGGUAGCCCAUUGCUUGGAGCUGAAGGUGGUUCAUCUGGCCUUGCUUCAGUUUCAAGACCUACUUCUGGGAAUGCAUGUCAACAAUAUGACAGCCAAGUCCCACGUCAACGACCAAGGGGGCACAAGAUCGCGGACCCUUAUGAGAGAGACCAACCUACUCUUCACUUGAGUGGAGGUUCAUCUUUGUUCAGUGUUGGCAGAGCACCUAAGUGGUUCAGCAAACCUGCAGGCAGAUUGGCUGAAUCAACAGUGGAUAGAUCCCACAGAAUGGCCUCUGAAUCCGGAAGUCUUUGCUCAGAUCAUGGAGGUGAUGGAUCUUCCCGAACUGGACCUGUUCGCAUCUCUGAGCAACACUCAACUUCCCAGGUUUUUUGCAAGGUUCCAGUGCUAUCAGGUGGUACAUAUAGAUGCUCUCACAUCACCAUGCCGCCUGGGCUUCUUUGCAUGUUUCCAACUUUCCACCUGUCACAAGCCUCAGAUAUGUCAUCAGGAAGCUUCAGUCAGAAAUCAUCCUGGUGGCACCUUACUGGCCAUGACAUCCUUAGUUUUCAGACCUUCUGUCCCUGUCUCUUUAUCCUCCAUGGCACCUUCCUCUCUGAGUGGAUCUCUUUUCACAGGGUCUCCUGUUCCAUCCAGAUCUGGUGUGGUUACACCUACACACAUGGCAGUUGAGUGCAGGUCGCUAGCAGACAGAGGAUAUUCACAGCAAGUCCAGAACACAAUCCUUGUUUUGAGGAGACCUUCUACCUCCUGUAUUUACCAAGCCACCUGGUCAACUUUCUGUAGCUGGGGGCAAAAACAUCAAAUCCACCCUUCAGCGGGAGUUUUGGAAGUUCUGGGGGUCCUCCAGUUGGACCUCAAGAUGGGUCUCCGUCCAAACACCUUGAAGUGCCAGACUUCAGCCUUGUCCUCAGUUCUGGACAUUUCAAUUCCAGGCUCCUCAGCUUUGCAUCCACACAUUUGCCAUUGUAGUGAUCAGAAUUUCCUCCCACUAAAGAGUUAACUGGAAGUGAGCCCUGUCUUGACUGACAGGGUUCACUGGUGAACUCCAGGGCUCAGCCAAUCAGCACACCAGGUGGGUGGGACCUAGAGAGCUGUUGUCAGGAAGAAGGGAGUUCUUUGUUAGAGAAGAAGCUAAGUUAGAAGUGCACAGGAGGACAUGUGGCCAUGGAGGCUGGCUGCAGGAGAAUGAUUCUGCAGAUCCUUGAAAGAUAGGAGGGCAGGAAGCUUGAAUUAUUAUCUGGAGUUUAGUGAGUUCAAGGAAAGGAAGCCAGGGCUUUGGCUUUGGGAAGGUUAAUUUAGGAGAAAGUUUGUUUUGUUUUAAUUUUGUGUUAGAAACUCAUGUUUCUUUGGUGCGUGUGCUUUUGCAUAUUCCUGAUACUGUUCUAUUAUUAUUUACCUGUAAUGUAAUGAAUAUAAGAAACACUAGCCUAUACCCAUCCUACCUAGGGUUUUGCCAAAGACUCUAUAAACAUUUAAGUGUGCAUUAAGACAACCUAUUUUUGUAACCUACUAAGUAUUUUUAACUGUAUUUCUAAACUGAGAAAGGCUCAGAUGGAAGCAGUCUGUAGGAAUCGAAUAAAACUGGGUUUUUUUUGUUCCUUUAGUUUUACAACCCUCUCCAAGUUGGUUUUUAACUCAGGAAAAGGGGGCCCCGAGGGGGGUUUCUCUGGUGCAAACACAUCCUCAAACAUUUAGAAACUCUCAGUUUUCUCACUCAGUUUUCUCAUGUAGGCUUGCAUGUGGAAGAUUUUUGUACUUAUCCAACAAGAGAGAGAGAGAGAGAGGUAGUUUUCCCUGGGAUUCCACCCCAAGCCCAGAGAUGUUCAAGCUCUGUCUAUAAGGGGGUGGUGGUGGCAGCAUUUUGAACCUACCGAUAAUACAGAAUAGUUUUAGGAGAAGCCUAGACAGGCAGCUCAAGCAGGGAUGAUUCAGCAUUUAUUUCCCUCAUGUGAGUUUGCUCUGAGACACAGGCUUUAAUCAGCUACAGCCACUUUUUGCAGGGAGCUACCAACAUCAUUCCUCCACCUGUGCAAAGGUUCCCAUCUUGGGACCUGAAAAAAGUGUUAAAUGCUCUCACUAGGGCUUCCUUUGAGCCUCUCCACUCAGUUUUGCUGAAGCUGUUAUCCCUCAAAGUCCUCUUCCUCAUGGCAAUUACAUCUGCUGGGAGAGUGUCCGACUGAGCUGGCUGCUUUGUCUGUGUGCAAGGAACAGUGCAUCUUGCAAAAGGACUCUGUAGUUCUAAAACCGGAUCCAAUCUUUAUGCCAAAAAUUAAUUCAGUUUUUCUUAGGGGGUCAGGGAUUAGUUGUGCCAUAAUUUUGUCCAAAACCUUCUCAUCUGAAGGAGAAGGACUGGCAUACCCUAGAUAUGUGAAUGGCACUCAGAGUAUAUAUAAAACAUACUAAACGUUUUUGUAUAAAAGAUUCCCUGUCCAUGUCUUUCCAGCCUUCUUCCAUGGGGUUUAAGGUCACCAAGGUUUUGCUGGGCCGGUGGAUUGGAGUGGCAUUUGCCCUUGCUUACGAAUCUCUGCACUUAUCUGUUCCUCAAGCAAUCACAGCCCAUUCCACUAGAAGUGCUAGCACUUCAGCUGCUUUGCAGCAUGUGCACCAUUAGAUGAAAUUUGCAAGGUGGCCACUUGGGCUUUAGUGUCACCAUUUGUGCAACAUUAUAAGAUUCCGUCUUUUCAUGCAGCUCUAGCAGCUAUGGGACAGACUGUUUUACAGCAGGUAGUUUAACCAUCUGCUUCCCUCCUCAUUCUUUUUUGCUUGGGUAUGUCCCAUCAUGUUGAGGAUGACCUCCCUAUACCAUGGGAAAAGAAACAUUGGUAGACUUAACUUGAAAGGUUCUUUUUCAAUGUAUAGAGAGGUCAUCCGGCCUGCCUGCGGAUCUGGGGAGCUUAUUAUGCAUAUAUUUCAGUCCUCUUGGACUGCAUUCAGGGGGGUGGGUCAACUCCCAGAGUUACAGUUUACCUGUCCUUUUACUGCUACUGUUCUGGCUCAUUUUUAUCUGUUUCGGUUUGUGUUCAUGUUGAGUUUUCUCUUUUAAGCUUUACUGUGCUAUACAGUCCUGGAACUGGGGAUUGAGUAACAGCCCUGCUAACUAAGCAAAGAGGCAUCUUUCAAAGUGGUGAUUCUCUUAUAUUUAGCAGGGGAAGAGCAACUGGCCCUAUCCAACCCCAGCACAGCAUCCUUCCACUGGCUGUUGCUGGUAUCUGCCUUUUUUUUUUUUAGAUUGUGAGCCCUUUGGGGACAGGGGACCAUCCUCUUGAUGUAUUAUUUAUUUCUCUAUGUAAACCUAUUUGAGAACUUUGGUUGAUGAGCAGUAUAUAAUUAUUAUAGUAAUAAUGGUAGUAGUAGCUACUUAACCUUGCUACUAGCCUGCCUGAAAUUUGAAUGGUCCUGUCUUGAAACAUGCAGAGGCAGAUAAACCAAUCACGUUGAAGAUGACAUCCCUAUACCUUGAAAAAGAACCCUUCAUGCAAAUACAAUACAUGUGUAAAAACUGUGCAGCAAUGGAAAAGAACAAACAAUGAAAAUGUGAAUAUAAGCCAGAAAUUAAGAGCAAUUUGAGGUUAUACACAAGUCCAGUGUUAAAAAGAGACUGUCGGUUGCUGAGCAUGCAGGUACAACUUGACAGGAGUCAAUUGAAAACACAAUUCAAGAAAGAACAUCAUUCCAAAAUUUGAUUUGAGUGGAUGGAGUUAUGAACUGAUCAUUCCUUAAUGACAUAUUCAAUAAAUGGAAACCAUAUUUCCCCAAACCUGUCUUGUUUUGUUAGUCCUCUAGCUAACCUGAUUUGAUGGGUUAGCUUUUCGAAUAAUGUGAUCAUCCAGACACUAUUGAACCAAUUUUCAAUGCAUAGACCCUUUGAGGCUUUCCAGUGUUUAGCUACCUCUAUCUUGGCUGCUGCUAGCAGAAGAGUUAUUAGAUCUUUAUGAAGUAUAUCUUUGUGAGUACUUCUGUAAAUUGAUAAAAGUGCUACACUGGACCAGGCUGAAGAAUGAGUUGGACUAUUUCAGAGAUUAUAUGAAAAUUCACUGCCAAUAGCAUUUUAUGUAUGGGCAACCCCACAAUAAAUGAAGGAGAGUACUUCUGUUUUUACAUCUCUGCCAACAAAAUGGGGAAAACUUUUUGGUGAUAUAGUGCAUCUUGAUUGGAGUAAGAUGUCAUCUAUGUAUAACUUUUUAAUGUUGCUUCCCUUAUCUGGGCAGAUGUGGUUCUAAGUGGUUGUUUCAGCCAAAUUUCUUCACAUUCAUUAUCUUCAAGAGAGGCUCCCAUGUUGCUCUCCCAAGCAACAUGGCCCUCCCAAGGAACCACAGGAUUCAGAGAGGAGGGUAUUGUAUAUAACCGAGGCUAUCCCCCUUGUUUUGUUGGUGUUGCGGCACACAAGUUUUCAUAGAUAGUCAAAGAUCUAGUAGCCUCUCCUUUCUGUAGCAACUUAGAUGCAAAGGACCAGAUUUGAAAUUUCUUCAUCCAAGUAGCUUGGUUGCCAAUCAGCAUAGUAUCAAGUUUAGCUUCUGAUACUGGUUUGCCUUUUUCAAUAAUGUUCCUCAGUCUGUAAAUCCCUUUUGACUCCCACUUCUCAUAUUGUUGAUAUUUGCUUGGGUCUGCAAACACAGGAUGAUCUAAAAUAGGGAAGAAUGGUGAAGUGGGUGAUGCCAAGGGAUGCAGAUUCUCAAUGUGGUGGCCAAGAAAAGGUUACUCAACCCUGAUAAUUUAGCUUCAGUGACCUGUUUAAAGGGAGAGCUCAAAUUGUUUGAACUUCUGAGGAAAGCUCAAAAGAAACCCAUGAGAUCACCUGAUCAUUUUGAAUGAUAAGAAUGAGUUGUUUCACUUGGAAGUCAUUGAAAUAAAGCUUAAGUUUGGGGACCCCAAAUCCACAUUUAUUUGGGUCCCUGUAUAGUGAACUUUUGUUUACUCUUGCUUUAUUAUAAUUAUUGCAAAAAGCUUCAAGUGUUCCCUACCACUUUUUAAAGUGUUUGGGAUGAAUCUGAAUUGGUAAUGUUUGAAAAAGAAACAGAAAUUUGAGCAGUGCUACCAUUUGUAUGGCUGGUAUUCUCCCUAACCAGGAGAGAUUCAGUUGAGUCCAAUUUUUAAUAUCCUUUUUGAUUUGUUGAAAAAGAGGGUUAUGUUUCUUUUCCUUAAUUGCUUUAGAUCCUUUGGAAUAAUCACCCCUAGAUAUUUGAAGCUUGAAUAUUGUAAGCUUAAGUUAGACAUUUGCUGCAAUUUCCUUUGUUCUUCUAUGCAAAUGUUGAUGCAUAUAAGUUCUGGCUUCUUGUGACCAGCUGUUUGUUUGUAAAGUGUUAAUAUUUCCUUGACUGCCGGUAUUGCUUCUCAUGGGUUAGAUAAAAAUAAUAUGAUGUCAUCUGAAAAUAAGUUGAUUGUGUGUCUUUUCUUAUUAAUUUGGAUUCCAUUAAUUUUUGUGUCAUUUUAAUUAAGUCAG